AGUGAACGCUGGCGGUAGGCCUAACACAUGCAAGUCGAACGGCAGCACAGUAAGAGCUUGCUCUUACGGGUGGCGAGUGGCGGACGGGUGAGGAAUACAUCGGAAUCUACUUUUUCGUGGGGGAUAACGUAGGGAAACUUACGCUAAUACCGCAUACGACCUACGGGUGAAAGCAGGGGAUCUUCGGACCUUGCGCGAUUGAAUGAGCCGAUUUCGGAUUAGCUAGUUGGCGGGGUAAAGGCCCACCAAGGCGACGAUCCGUAGCUGAUCUGAGAGGAUAAUCAGCCACACUGGAACUGAGACACGGUCCAGACUCCUACGGGAGGCAGCAGUGGGGAAUAUUGGACAAUGGGCGCAAGCCUGAUCCAGCCAUACCGCGUGGGUGAAGAAGGCCUUCGGGUUGUAAAGCCCUUUUGUUGGGAAAGAAAAGCAGCAGGUUAAUACCCCGCUGUUCUGACGGUACCCAAAGAAUAAGCACCGGCUAACUUCGUG
This 492-nucleotide ribosomal RNA is filed under the name uncultured bacterium. RNAcentral's name for it is "partial 16S ribosomal RNA". It matches the Rfam family "Bacterial small subunit ribosomal RNA", at positions 29 to 507 of the family's 1533-position model. The record is from RNAcentral.